UUGGAGGGCAAGUCUGGUGCCAGCAGCCGCGGUAAUUCCAGCUCCAAUAGCGUAUAUUAAAGUUGUUGCAGUUAAAAAGCUCGUAGUUGAAUUUCGGGAUUGACGUGAUGGCCGUGCCUUAAGGGGUAUGAACUGUCGCAGUUGAUUUCUCACCUUCUGGGGAAGCACGAUGUCCUUAAUUGGGUGUCAUGUGGAACCAGGACCUUUACCUUGAAAAAAUUAGAGUGUUUAAAGCAGGCAUUUUGCUCGAAUACAUUAGCAUGGAAUAAUAGAAUAGGACGGCAUGGUUCUAUUUUGUUGGUUUCUAGGAUCACCGUAAUGAUUAAUAGGGAUAGUUGGGGGCAUUAGUAUUCAAUUGUCAGAGGUGAAAUUCUUGGAUUUAUUGAAGACUAACUACUGCGAAAGCAUUUGCCAAGGAUGUUUUCAUUAAUCAAGAACGAAAGUUAGGGGAUCGAAGACGAUCAGAUACCGUCGUAGUCUUAACCAUAAACUAUGCCGACUAGGAAUCAGACGAUGUUAAUUUUUUAAUGACUCGUUCGGCGCCUUACGGGAAAC
This 555-nucleotide ribosomal RNA is filed under the name uncultured Glomus. RNAcentral's name for it is "SSU rRNA". It matches the Rfam family "Eukaryotic small subunit ribosomal RNA", at positions 548 to 1098 of the family's 1831-position model. The record is from RNAcentral. Lineage: Eukaryota; Fungi; Glomeromycota; Glomeromycetes; Glomerales; Glomeraceae.